RNAcentral lists this ribosomal RNA (378 nucleotides) under uncultured eukaryote. RNAcentral's name for it is "partial 18S ribosomal RNA". It matches the Rfam family "Eukaryotic small subunit ribosomal RNA", at positions 592 to 976 of the family's 1831-position model. The record is from RNAcentral.
CAAUAGCGUAUAUUUAAGUUGUUGCAGUUAAAAAGCUCGUAGUUGGAUUUCGGGUGGGACGCAGCGGUCUCGCAUUGCGUUUGUACUGCUGCAGCCCUCCUUCUUGCCGGGGGCGGCCUCUCGGACUUCACUGUCUGGGGGUCAGAAUCGGCGAUGUUACUUUGAGUAAAUUAGAGUGUUCAAAGCAAGCUUACGCUCUGAAUAUAAUAGCAUGGGAUAACACGACAGGACUCUGGCCUAUCGUGGUGGUCUAUAGGACCAGAGUAAUGAUUAAGAGGGACAGUCGGGGGCAUUCGUAUUCCGUUGUCAGAGGUGAAAUUCUUGGAUUUACGGAAGACGAACAUCUGCGAAAGCAUUUGCCAAGGAUGUUUUCAUUGA